Molecule: ribosomal RNA, 442 nt
Filed under: Bacillus sp. EB16
Lineage: Bacteria; Bacillati; Bacillota; Bacilli; Caryophanales; Bacillaceae
Description: partial 16S rRNA
Rfam family: Bacterial small subunit ribosomal RNA
Source: RNAcentral
CCCCCCCCCCCCCCCGGGCGGGGCGGGGGCACGGGGGGAACGCGAAGAACCUUACCAGGUCUUGACAUCCUCUGACAACCCUAGAGAUAGGGCUUCUCCUUCGGGAGCAGAGUGACAGGUGGUGCAUGGUUGUCGUCAGCUCGUGUCGUGAGAUGUUGGGUUAAGUCCCGCAACGAGCGCAACCCUUGAUCUUAGUUGCCAUCAUUAAGUUGGGCACUCUAAGGUGACUGCCGGUGACAAACCGGAGGAAGGUGGGGAUGACGUCAAAUCAUCAUGCCCCUUAUGACCUGGGCUACACACGUGCUACAAUGGACGGUACAAAGAGCUGCAAGACCGCGAGGUGGAGCUAAUCUCAUAAAACCGUUCUCAGUUCGGAUUGUAGGCUGCAACUCGCCUACAUGAAGCGGGAAUCGCUAGUGAGCGCCGAUCAACAUCCCGUCGA